Molecule: ribosomal RNA, 772 nt
Filed under: uncultured Neocallimastigales
Lineage: Eukaryota; Fungi; Neocallimastigomycota; Neocallimastigomycetes; Neocallimastigales
Description: partial large subunit ribosomal RNA
Rfam family: Eukaryotic large subunit ribosomal RNA
Source: RNAcentral
GUACACGCUGUGACUAGCAUAUCAAUAAGCGGAGGAAAAGAAACUAACAAGGAUUCCCUCAGUAACGGCGAGUGAAGCGGGAAGAGCUCAAAUUUGAAAUCUUGAAAGGUCACCUUUCACGAAUUGUAGUUUAAAGAAGUGUUUUCUGUUACGAUCGUAAUAUAAGUUCUUUGGAAUAGGACAUCACUAGAGGGUGAGAAUCCCGUCUAUGAUUGCGAUUUGUAGCUUUGUGAUACACUUUCAAAGAGUCGGGUUGUUUGGGAAUGCAGCCCAAAACGGGAGGUAAAUUUCUUCUAAGGCUAAAUAUUGGCGAGAGACCGAUAGCGAACAAGUACCGUGAGGGAAAGAUGAAAAGAACUUUGAAAAGAGAGUUAAAUAGUACGUGAAAUUGUCAAAAGGGAAGCGUUUAACACCAGUGUUGUUUUCUGAAAAUCAACCUCUGUUAGCUUUAUGCAUGUUUGUUUAGACCUAAUCAGCUAUCUUGCAUGUUCUAUUGUUUGCAGUGGUGCACUUUUCAGUUUACAGGUCAACAUCAGUUUUUUUUACCGUAAAAAAGUUAAAGAAAGGUAGCUCAUGGCUCCGGUCGUGAGUGUUAUAGUCUUUUUCCUAUGCGGUAGGAGAGACUGAGGUCUGCAGUGUAGGCUAUUUGGCUAGAUACUCAGGUGCUAUGUGAUACCAUUUCAUAAACAACUUGUUGAUUAUGUUUUGUCUAUUGCAUACUCGCUUGUACUAUCAUACCUACGCUUAGGAUGUUGAGUAGCGACAUACGCAC